CCUACGGGAGGCAGCAGUGGGGGAUAUUGCACAAUGGGGGAAACCCUGAUGCAGCGACGCCGCGUGUGGGAAGACGGUCCUCUGGAUUGUAAACCACUGUCCCCAGGGACGAAGAUGACGGUACCGGGGGAGGAAGCGCCGGCUAACUACGUGCCAGCAGCAGCGGUAAGACGUAGGGAGCGAGCGUUGUCCGGAAUUACUGGGUGGAAAGGGAGCGUAGGCGGGACUGCAAGUUGGGUGUCAAAUCUACCGGCUCAACCGGUAGCCGCCCUCAAAACUGCAGUUCUUGAGUGAAGUAGAGGCAGGCGGAUUUCCUCGUGUAGCGGUGCCUUGC
Molecule: ribosomal RNA, 334 nt
Filed under: uncultured bacterium
Lineage: Bacteria
Description: partial 16S ribosomal RNA
Rfam family: Bacterial small subunit ribosomal RNA
Source: RNAcentral